RNAcentral lists this ribosomal RNA (2386 nucleotides) under human oral metagenome. RNAcentral's name for it is "bacterial LSU rRNA". It matches the Rfam family "Bacterial large subunit ribosomal RNA", at positions 1 to 2618 of the family's 2925-position model. The record is from RNAcentral.
AUAAAUCGUUAAGGGCGUAUGGCGGAUGCCUAGGCUUUCAGAGGCGAAGAAGGACGUGGUAAGCUGCGAAAAGCUACGGGGAUUGGCACACACGAAUUGAUCCGUAGAUAUCCGAAUGGGGCAACCCAAUACAUUGAAGAUGUAUUACUGCGUAAGCAGAGCGAACCCGGAGAACUGAAACAUCUAAGUACCCGGAGGAAAAGAAAUCGAAGAGAUUCCGUUAGUAGUGGCGAGCGAAAGCGGAUUAGCCCAAAAGUUGUAGUAUGUUUAGUAGAAUACUUUGGAAAGAGUAGCCAUAGAGGGUGAUAGCCCCGUAAAUGAAAGGCAUAUUAUGAUGAUAAUAGAGUAGGGCGGGACACGUGAAAUCCUGUUUGAAUAAGGGGGGACCAUCCUCCAAGGCUAAAUACUCCUGAAAGACCGAUAGUGAACGAGUACUGUGAAGGAAAGGUGAAAAGCACUUCGAAUAGAAGGGUGAAAGAGAACCUGAAACCAUACGCCUACAAGCGGUCGGAGCACCAAUAUGGUGUGACGGCGUGCCUUUUGCAUAAUGAGCCUACGAGUUAAUUGUACUAGCGAGGUUAAGAUAUUAAGUAUCGGAGCCGUAGGGAAACCGAGUCUGAAUAGGGCGAAUAGUUAGUAUGAUUAGACGCGAAACCUUGUGAUCUACCCAUGGGCAGGUUGAAGCUUUGGUAACACAAAGUGGAGGACCGAACCGGUUGACGUUGAAAAGUCUUCGGAUGACCUGUGGGUAGGGGUGAAAGGCCAAUCAAACUGGGAGAUAGCUCGUACUCUCCGAAAUGCAUUUAGGUGCAGCGUCAAUGAUAAGUUUAUUAGAGGUAGAGCUACUGAUUGGAUGCGGGGGUUUCAUCGCCUACCAAUUCCUGACAAACUCCGAAUGCUAAUAAAUGUUCGUUGGCAGUGAGGGCAUGGGUGCUAAGGUCCAUGUCCGAGAGGGAAAGAACCCAGACCAACAGUUAAGGUCCCCAAAUAUAUGCUAAGUUGAAGCAACGCGGUUGAACUGCCUAGACAGCUAGGAUGUUGGCUUGGAAGCAGCCAUUCAUUUAAAGAGUGCGUAACAGCUCACUAGUCGAGCGGUUCGGCAUGGAUAAUAAUCGGGCAUAAGCAUAUUACCGAAGCUAUGGAUUUGUACAUAAGUACAACUGGUAGGAGAGCAUUCUAUCGGCGUAGAAGCUGAGUCGUGAGGCUUGGUGGAGCUUAUAGAAAAGAAAAUGUAGGCAUAAGUAACGAUAAAGCGGGCGAGAAACCCGCUCACCGAAAGACUAAGGUUUCCUCAGCCAUGCUAAUCAGCUGAGGGUUAGUCGGGGCCUAACGCGAACCCGAGAGGGGUAGUGGAUGGACAUAGGGUUAAUAUUCCCUAACUUGCUCACGAGGAAAGUGACGGUUCAAUGAGACUUAAGAAGACUGACGGAAUAGUUAAGACCUAGCCUACGGGCGAAGUUGAUUAAGAGCAGUUGGAUCCAAGAAAAGCGAGUGAAGCAACCCGUACCAUAAACCGACACAGGUAGUCGAGGAGAGAAUCCUAAGGUGCUCGAGUGAGUCGUGGCUAAGGAACUAGGCAAAAUAGUCUCGUAACUUCGGGAGAAGAGACGCCAACAGCGAUGUUGGCCGCAGUGAAGAGGCCCAGGCGACUGUUUAACAAAAACACAGGACUCUGCUAAAUCGAAAGAUGCUGUAUAGGGUCUGACACCUGCCCGGUGCUGGAAGGUUAAGGAAGGUGCUUAGCGUAAGCGAAGGCAUUGACUGAAGCCCCAGUAAACGGCGGCCGUAACUAUAACGGUCCUAAGGUAGCGAAAUUCCUUGUCGGGUAAGUUCCGACCUGCACGAAUGGUGUAACGAUCUGAAAGACCCUGUGAACCUUUACUAUAACUUCGUAUUGACUUUGAGUAAGUAAUGUGUAGGAUAGGUGGGAGACGUAGAAGCAGGCACGCUAGUGUUUGUGGAGUCGCUGUUGAAAUACCACCCUUUGCUUACUUAGAGCCUAACUUCUGAAUGGAAGGACAUUGCGUGGUGGGUAGUUUGACUGGGGUGGUCGCCUCCAAAAGAGUAACGGAGGCUUUCAAAGGUACCCUCAGCACGCUUGGUAACCGUGCGUAGAGUGUAAUGGCAGAAGGGUGCUUGACUGUGAGACCAACAAGUCGAUCAGGUGCGAAAGCAGGACAUAGUGAUCCGGUGGUUCCGAGUGGAAGGGCCAUCGCUCAUAGGAUAAAAGGUACUCCGGGGAUAACAGGCUAGUCUCCCCCAAGAGCUCACAUCGACGGGGAGGUUCGGCACCUCGAUGUCGGCUCGUCACAUCCUGGGGCUGGAGAAGGUCCCAAGGGUUGGGCUGUUCGCCCAUUAAAGUGGCACGCGAGCUGGGUUCAGAACG